Molecule: long non-coding RNA, 1348 nt
Filed under: Nicotiana benthamiana
Lineage: Eukaryota; Viridiplantae; Streptophyta; Magnoliopsida; Solanales; Solanaceae
Description: long non-coding RNA (NBEN_LNC011853)
Source: RNAcentral
GAGAAUAUGUUAGGUUAGAGGCAAAGAGAAUGUUCUUAUAUAUUCAAUACUGCGUAUCAAAAGUCAUACAAAAUGACAAGAGUCCCUUUUAUAUAUGAGGAGGAAUUCCAACAUAGUAAAAUGCAUUUAUCACGUAGAUACAUGGUUGGUACUGCUAUUCAAUCCCACGAUAUGGGCUUGAACUAGCAAAAUAGACUUGGUCAACUUUAGUCACAUGCCUUGGGAACUUCCCACUUUUUUACCAUAACUAUCGAUUUGUACUGCCCCGAGUCAGGCGUCGAUAACCCCUAGGGUGUGAAUCUUGACCAUAGCCUCGAGCCUUUGAAACAUGCUUAUGAAGCGUCAUAAUGACCAAAAAUUGGACCCUCUAAUGUUAUCAUAUACACCUGUCAGAAUGAUAGGGCCUCUUGUAAGACCCCUGACCACUCCCCUGUAAUAGAACCAUCUCAACUCGUCUGGCCACAAUUGUUGCAUCCUAGAAAGAAUCUCACUCCUUAUCUCCUUAGCCAUCAACAAUCUGAUAGGCUGAGCUAGUCCCUCAAUAAACCUCCUCACCCUCUUUCUCUCGGUGGGAAGUAUAAUAAGAGCAUGAUGGGCCAAGGCAAUAAAUCUGGUCUCGUACUGAGUGACAGUCAUAGAACCCUAUUGGAGACGCUCAAACUGCCUUCGAUAGUACUCCCUCUGAGUGAUAGCAAGAAACUUCUCCAAAAAAAACAGAGAGUUGGUCCCAAGUCAAAGCCGGUGACCCAGCUAGUCUAGCCAAACAAUAAUAUCUCCACCAAGUCUCGGGUAACCUGAUAGACGAAAAAUAGCAAAGUCGAUCCCAUUAGUAUCCACUAUCCCUAUGUUCCAUAGAACCUCAUGACAGCUGUACAAAUAGCUGGGGAUUCUCUGAAGAAGUACCACCAUCAGUAGUAGUGAAAAGCUUGGUGAACCUGUCCAACCUCCACAAGGCAGCGGUAGACAUAGCAGCUCAAUCACCGAUCUGAGCUACAAAACCUGACUAAACUACCCCAACUGGCUGAGCUGCUAGAGUCUAAAAUUGAGGAGCCAUUUGCUCCGAAAUGUGAGUAGCGGGAGUUUGUGCUCCUCUUCCAGCCUGAGAGACGGAUGGUGCUACAGAAAGUAAGCCUGCCUGGGCGACACUCUCCAUAAGGCCCACUAGAUAGAGAGAGAGUCCUAGAGUACCGGGGUAACGAUGAACCCCCCUGAGACCUGAGGUGCCCUACUGGAACGAUCUGGGCUGGAACCUUCUCCUCAAACUCUACUUGAGGCUCCACCAUUGGUGCUGCUUCUCUAGGAUGAGCCCUGGCCUCUAGCACGACCUCAACCUCGUCUUCUGCCCUUU